RNAcentral lists this ribosomal RNA (468 nucleotides) under uncultured bacterium. RNAcentral's name for it is "partial 16S ribosomal RNA". It matches the Rfam family "Bacterial small subunit ribosomal RNA", at positions 28 to 507 of the family's 1533-position model. The record is from RNAcentral.
GACGAACGCUGGCGGCGUGCUUAACACAUGCAAGUCGAAUGGAAAGGCUCUGCUUUUGUGGGGUGCUCGAGUGGCGAACGGGUGAGUAACACGUGAGUAACCUGCCCUUGACUUUGGGAUAACUUCAGGAAACUGGGGCUAAUACCGGACAGGAGCUCCUGCUGCAUGGUGGGGGUUGGAAAGUUUCGGCGGUUGGGGAUGGACUCGCGGCUUAUCAGUUUGUUGGUGGGGUAGUGGCCUACCAAGGCUUUGACGGGUAGCCGGCCUGAGAGGGUGACCGGCCACAUUGGGACUGAGGUACGGCCCAGACUCCUACGGGAGGCAGCAGUGGGGAAUAUUGCACAAUGGGCGGAAGCCUGAUGCAGCAACGCCGCGUGCGGGAUAACGGCCUUCGGGUUGUAAACCGCUUUCGCCUGUGACGAAGCGAGGGUGACGGUAAUGGGUAAAGAAGCACCGGCUAACUACGUG